RNAcentral lists this small nuclear RNA (246 nucleotides) under Erinaceus europaeus (western European hedgehog). Its description in RNAcentral is "7SK RNA". It matches the Rfam family "7SK RNA", at positions 51 to 331 of the family's 331-position model. Rfam says of the family: 7SK was discovered as an abundant small nuclear RNA in the mid-70s but a possible function has only recently been suggested. Lineage: Eukaryota; Metazoa; Chordata; Mammalia; Eulipotyphla; Erinaceidae. The record is from Rfam by way of RNAcentral.
GGAUGUGAAGAUGAUCUGGCUGGCCAGGCAGGUGUCCUCUCCCUCCCUCAUCAUUCCAUGUACGUCCCUCCCUAAGCGCUGUGCUGGGUAGACAGCCUUCCCUGAAUAGACGUGUAGCUGCACUUCCCUGCUAGAACCUUCAAGUUCUUUAAAAAAAAGGUAGUUUUAUUAUUUUCCUAUCAUUACACUUGCAGGACAUAAUAAAAAUGAGGUAAAACAAAAAUAACAGCAAAUGCAAAGUAAAUU